GGGUCAGUAGGUUGGUCGUGCCACCGGUACGUACUGGUCUCACUGAUUCCUCCUCCCUGAAGAACCGUAAUGCCAUUAAUUUGGUGUUGCGGGGAAACAGGACUGUUACUUUGAAAAAAUUAGAGUGUUUAAAGCAAGCUAACGCUUGAAUACAUUAGCAUGGGAUAAUGAAAUAGGGCGAUCGAUCCUAUUUUGCUGGUUUCUAGGAUUGACGUA
This 216-nucleotide ribosomal RNA is filed under the name Glomeromycotina sp. RNAcentral's name for it is "partial small subunit ribosomal RNA". The stretch from base 75 to 216 matches the Rfam family "Eukaryotic small subunit ribosomal RNA", at positions 721 to 864 of the family's 1831-position model. Lineage: Eukaryota; Fungi; Glomeromycota. The record is from RNAcentral.